GCGGGUCGGUAGCACGUGUGCUUGGUGUGUGGCCGCGUUCUGUCCCUUUUCUCCCUUCCAGCCCUCGUAGGUGCAUCACCACGCGUUACAUGGUUCGUUAGGGGAUGUCGUCGUGGGCCGGGACCCGGGCGGGCAGCGGCCGCCGCCUCGGCCGGCACCGGCAGUUCCGCCUCUGGCGCCUCCGCCGCCGCAGGGCCCUCCUGCGCCGCCCCCAACUCUCCCGCCACAGCCUCUCGGGCCAGCACCACCACCCCUCCGCCCGGACGACGGAGUGGGUGCACCACUUCGCCGACGACGUCCCCGAGCCCCAGUUGGGGCGGCACGUGCUCCAGCGGCUGCUCCGGCGCGAGCGGCCCCAGCACGGCCUGCCACCCCUCCGUCGCCGCGAGGGCCGCCAGAAGCAGCCGCCCUUCGAGGAGCCUCCGGAGCUAGCGGAGUACCGGCAGGUGUAGAGGCCGCUCGAGCACGGGUAGGAGUUCUUCCGGCCGCGGGAGACCGAGACUAGCCUGGGAAGGAAGGAAAGGAAUCAAAGGAAAGCAGUCUUCUGCCACGGCGCCAAAUUAGGACCGGCAGCCUAGCUUCAAAUGUGGCGCCGGCUAAAUGAGAUCCUAAAACCCAAAGAAAUUACCACACGAUUAAAAAAAGAGUUUUUUAUAUAAAUAUACUCUUUUUUUCUUUGUCUGUCGAUCGCNNNNNCUAAAACCAUUCAUUAAAUAAAGCAGACCAGUACCCGUACACUUACUCAUGCCUUCUUCUCGCAAACAGCAAAGAUAAAGGCUCAAUUACUCUUAGUCUACGAAGAAUGCCUUUAGAAGUGGACGCCGGACUUUAAAGUAAGAGGCAAAAAAGUCAAUUGUUCAAUCCGCAGAUCGAAAGCAACCAUGUGCCUGCGAACUAAGUUCAGUACCAACCAACAACUGUUCUAAAUAUCCACCUACAAUGACGUAUGUCCACCGUACCGAUUGGAUACAGUUAUCCCAUAAGUACACACAUGUCAUGUCGAUGGCUAAGGUAAGGUCAGGUUGACAAAGUCACAAAUCAACGCCUAAUGAUUAUUUG
RNAcentral lists this ribosomal RNA (1059 nucleotides) under Triticum aestivum (bread wheat). RNAcentral's name for it is "partial small subunit ribosomal RNA". Lineage: Eukaryota; Viridiplantae; Streptophyta; Magnoliopsida; Poales; Poaceae. The record is from RNAcentral.